RNAcentral lists this ribosomal RNA (206 nucleotides) under uncultured bacterium. Its description in RNAcentral is "partial 16S ribosomal RNA". It matches the Rfam family "Bacterial small subunit ribosomal RNA", at positions 568 to 774 of the family's 1533-position model. The record is from RNAcentral.
UCCGUAGGCGGUUUUGUAAGUCAGUGGUGAAAGCCCAUCGCUCAACGGUGGAACGGCCAUUGAUACUGCAAGACUUGAAUUAUUGGGAAGCAACUAGAAUAUGUAGUGUAGCGGUGAAAUGCUUAGAGAUUACAUGGAAUACCAAUUGCGAAGGCAGGUUGCUACCAAUAUAUUGACGCUGAUGGCGAAAGCGUGGGGAGCGAACA